CUAUGUAGGAUUACUAGACGAGAGCCUCAAAGCAACUGACUCUCGGGUAUGUGUAUACAUAGGGUGUCCUGUGUAGAUUCAUGGAGGAGAACAGAGAAAGGAGGGUGAGCUGAAAAGCCGUACUCGGCAGCAUAUGCAGAUAAUCGGUACAAAGCCUUUCGUUCAAUGACAAAGGAAAGCCCCAGGCUAGCUCUAUAGUCUAUGACAGUCUUCGUAUAUUAUUAUUAUUAUUAUUAUUAUUAUUAUUAUUAUUAUUAUUAUUAUUAUUAUUAUUAUUAUUAUACAGAGGAUAGUACUAACCACCUUCUUUUCGAUUUUAAAUUUUACCAAAAUUUUAUAUUACACGUUAUCCCAAAUAUGAUAGUAUGUAUAAUCAAUUCCCGCAUCAGAAUAGACAAUUUCAAUGUCAAGCUCGCGAUUCUUGCGACAUGCAUGAAGCUUAGGAAGAAAAAUAUUAAAUUGAAUUUUCUUGAUCAGAAAUUUUUAUUUAAAAACAUAUUUUUCUAUAAGAAAAAUAAGGGAACGCAUGAACGCAACCUUACACGGUAAACUUGCCGCAAGCUUUACUGCAAGCUUCAAUAAUGUCCCACCUGACCGAAAGCUGGCAUCACAGAAAAUUAAAAGGCAUUAAAAUAAGCUGCAACGCUUAUUAUUUUAAUGCCUUUUAAUUUUCUGUAAUGAUAAGCUUACCGAAAAAUUGCAGUGUAAGGUUACUGCAAGAUUGUUAAUUAAUUCUACCGAAAGAUUGCAGUGCAAGGUUACAGCAAGAUUGCUCAGUAAGCUUGCUCAGUAAGCUUGUAGCAAAGUUGCUAAAUAACCUUGCUUUGAGCCUAAAAAAAUUUUUUUUUAAAUGUUUCGUCUAAUUUAGAUAAUUUUAUUAUAUAAAUUAGACGAAAUAUUAAAAAAAAUUUAAGUUUAAAGCAAGGUUAUUUAGCAACCUUGCACCAAACUUGCUACAAGCUUACCAUGUAAGUUUAAAAUGCCACUUUCAAAUAGUAGAACAAAUGAAUGGCUUCUUCAACCAGCCGUCAGGUAACCUGAAAGCACCACGUUUGUACCUUCGGAAUAAAAAAUAUUGUAAGUAACAUGGCUCCAAAGGCAGCCAAUUGUUUACGUUGACGUUUGCUAGCACACAUUCACGUCUCGGGCUGCAAAUACCAACGUAAACAAUGGCUGCUUUUAGACCCUUGUUGCUCAAUAUAUACUACUUAAUUCUUCACAUUGAGAAAAAAAUUUUUUUUUCCUACUUUCGUCAGAAGGUGUAAAUGCAGUGAUUAUACACGGAGAGAAAUCUGCUGCGAUUUGCGCAUGAGCAAGUCCAUAGGAAUAUAGCAUGGACACUUCCAAGCAAAAACUAUAAGAUUCCAUCUGAAUAUCAGGUGAGACUCAUACAAUAAUACCUCGCUCACUUAGGAUUUUUGCUUGAAAGCGUCUGUUACUAUAUUCCUAAGGACAUGCUCAUGCGUAAAUCGCACCAGAUUUCUCUCCGUGUAGUCAUGUAAUAAUUACACAGCCCCACAAAAAAAAAGUGUCAUGUACAGUAAAACGUACAAAUGCCUUCCACUUGAAGUUGCUGCUAGAAAAUGAAUAUUUGCGGUUAGUCUUGUAUUUUCGUACUCUUUGCCGACAGAUCUGCCAAAUGAUCAGGUGUCAUCAAUGGUCAUCACUAGAAAAGUUUGUUUUGAUCGGUUGGUUUUUUCGAUAGCGGCUUUUGUAAAUUCUUCAAUGUUUUAGAAAUAAUUCCGAGUGUUAAAAUAAUUAAAUGUGUUCGGGAAUUAAAUGUUAAAGUGAUUGAUAAAAGGAUUAUGCAAUCAAUUGCAGUUAUUAUACGAAAGACAGCAACUACGAACAGAGGAGACAUUAUAAAGAGGAAUUCAACAAUCUUUGUCCGGAAUAUAAACAAUUAUAAAAAUACGUUAACAGUAAAAGUCGAUAUUAUAAGUGGCAGCAGCAAUAUAAUAUAGUGAAAGCUCAGGGGAAUUUUCAAGAACUCAAGAUAAAAAUAAAAAUUUUUAAAGAUUACAAUAUGAAUAACGAUCCGGUCUUCAAGCAACGUAACACGAGACACGAUUAUUUGCAUGGAAAAUUGACUCACUUAAAGAAUUUGGUCGAAGAAUUUGAUACGAAGCAUUUCGGUGUUAAUGGUAACAAGACAAGAUUUUGAAGAAGAAAAAUAUUUGUUUAAUUGAAAAUUGUUGGAUAGAAAAUUAAUUUGGCUUAAUAUAUAAAAUAUGAAAAAAAUUUAAUAAACAUUAAUAGAUUUAAAGAAGUUAAUUUCAGAAAUAAAUAAAAAAAGAACAAUAAACGAAAUUAAACACAAGAAAAUAC
Leptopilina boulardi is the source of this 2328-nucleotide long non-coding RNA. RefSeq lists it as uncharacterized. The record is from RefSeq and is a predicted model, not a curated record. The transcript has 3 exons. NCBI's taxonomy places the organism in Eukaryota, Metazoa, Arthropoda, Insecta, Hymenoptera, Figitidae.